GCCGGGCAUGGUGGCUCAUGCCUAUAAUCCCAGCACUUUGGGAGGCUAAGACAGGUGGAUCACCUGAGGUCAGGAGUUUGAGACCAGCCUGGCCAACAUGGUGAAAGCCUGUCUCUU
Molecule: unclassified non-coding RNA, 117 nt
Organism: Callithrix jacchus (white-tufted-ear marmoset)
Lineage: Eukaryota; Metazoa; Chordata; Mammalia; Primates; Cebidae
Rfam family: Metazoan signal recognition particle RNA
About the family: The signal recognition particle (SRP) is a universally conserved ribonucleoprotein. It is involved in the co-translational targeting of proteins to membranes.
Source: Ensembl